Molecule: ribosomal RNA, 254 nt
Filed under: uncultured bacterium
Lineage: Bacteria
Description: partial 16S ribosomal RNA
Rfam family: Bacterial small subunit ribosomal RNA
Source: RNAcentral
CACGUAGGGGGCAAGCGUUGUCCGGAUUUAUUGGGCGUAAAGAGCUCGUAGGCGGUUCGGUAAGUCGGGUGUGAAACCUCCAGGCUCAACCUGGAGACGCCACCCGAUACUGCUAUGACUAGAGUCCGGUAGGGGAGCGUGGAAUUCCUGGUGUAGCGGUGAAAUGCGCAGAUAUCAGGAGGAACACCAGCGGCGAAGGCGGCGCUCUGGGCCGGAACUGACGCUGAGGAGCGAAAGCGUGGGGAGCAAACAGG